GGGUGUGAAGGAUUUCUGAUUGUGAUGUUCAUUACCCCCCUGACUUGACACGGCUGGUUCAGCUGUUCAGCCUGGCUGGCCAAGUGCCCUUCCCUAACUGCCCCUUGUGAAUCUCUCCUGCACCUGCAAGCUCAUUUGAAGAGAAUGACCUUUCCAGCACCAGAGACCUUCAGUCAAGGGGACAAACAGCUCCAUACCUCUGUCCACAACCUGCCGACUGCCUCCUGCCUUCAUUUAGCA
RNAcentral lists this small RNA (240 nucleotides) under Cebus imitator (Panamanian white-faced capuchin). Its description in RNAcentral is "7SK RNA (ENSCCAG00000010794.1)". The stretch from base 1 to 187 matches the Rfam family "7SK RNA". Rfam says of the family: 7SK was discovered as an abundant small nuclear RNA in the mid-70s but a possible function has only recently been suggested. Two independent studies have found that 7SK RNA binds the CDK9/cyclin T complex (known as elongation factor P-TEFb). Lineage: Eukaryota; Metazoa; Chordata; Mammalia; Primates; Cebidae. The record is from RNAcentral.